GACGAACGCUGGCGGCGUGCUUAACACAUGCAAGUCGAACGGAAAGGCCCUGCUUUUGUGGGGUGCUCGAGUGGCGAACGGGUGAGUAACACGUGAGUAACCUGCCCUUGACUUUGGGAUAACUUCAGGAAACUGGGGCUAAUACCGGAUAGGAGCUCCUGCUGCAUGGUGGGGGUUGGAAAGUUUCGGCGGUUGGGGAUGGACUCGCGGCUUAUCAGCUUGUUGGUGGGGUAGUGGCUUACCAAGGCUUUGACGGGUAGCCGGCCUGAGAGGGUGACCGGCAAAAUUGGGACUGAGAUACGGCCCAGACUACUACGGGAGGCAGCAGUGGGGAAUAUUGCACAAUGGGCGGAAGCCUGAUGCAGCAACUCCGCGUGCGGGAUGACGGCCUUCGGGUUGUAAACCGCUUUCGCCUGUGACGAAGCGUGAGUGACGGUAAUGGGUAAAGAAGCACCGGCUAACUACGUG
This 468-nucleotide ribosomal RNA is filed under the name uncultured bacterium. RNAcentral's name for it is "partial 16S ribosomal RNA". It matches the Rfam family "Bacterial small subunit ribosomal RNA", at positions 28 to 507 of the family's 1533-position model. The record is from RNAcentral.